UGUGCUCUAGCUAACUGGAAUCACGAAUGUGUCAUCUGUGAUAACGUAAAGGAAAAAUAAUGAUGCUACUUUACUAUUAGUGUUGUCAAAGUCUGGUGCCAGAAGACUCGGUAAGGCCAGAGACGCUAGCGUUAAUCAUCUUGAUCAGGCGUAAAGGGUUUGUAGGCGGCUUUAAUAUAUUAUAAAAUCUAUAAUCAGAUAGAGGUCACCGUGAGAGAACACUUGGAGUAGGGUUGAUAUCUGUAGAUACCAAUGUGGAAUUCUAAUUAGCGAACGCUCUUAUCCAAAUAAUGAUUGACGCUGAUAAACGAAGGUGAGGAACGAUAAUAGGAUUAGAUACCCUGGCAUCCCUCUCUGUAAACGAUGAAUGGUAGUUGCUAAUUCUAAUGAGCUAGUGGCGAGGUUAACACAUUAACCAUUCCGCCUUGUGAGUA
Molecule: ribosomal RNA, 434 nt
Filed under: Arigomphus pallidus
Lineage: Eukaryota; Metazoa; Arthropoda; Insecta; Odonata; Gomphidae
Description: partial 12S small subunit ribosomal RNA
Rfam family: Bacterial small subunit ribosomal RNA
Source: RNAcentral